GAUGAACGCUGGCGGCGUGCUUAACACAUGCAAGUCGAACGGGAAACUUUUCAUUGAAGCUUCGGCAGAUUUGGUCUGUUUCUAGUGGCGGACGGGUGAGUAACGCGUGGGUAACCUGCCUUAUACAGGGGGAUAACAACCAGAAAUGGUUGCUAAUACCGCAUAAGCGCACAGGACCGCAUGGUCCAGUGUGAAAAACUCCGGUGGUAUAAGAUGGACCCGCGUUGGAUUAGCUAGUUGGCAGGGUAACGGCCUACCAAGGCGACGAUCCAUAGCCGGCCUGAGAGGGUGAACGGCCACAUUGGGACUGAGACACGGCCCAGACUCCUACGGGAGGCAGCAGUGGGGAAUAUUGCACAAUGGGGGAAACCCUGAUGCAGCGACGCCGCGUGAAGGAAGAAGUAUCUCGGUAUGUAAACUUCUAUCAGCAGGGAAGAUAGUGACGGUAC
This 449-nucleotide ribosomal RNA is filed under the name uncultured bacterium. RNAcentral describes it as "bacterial SSU rRNA". It matches the Rfam family "Bacterial small subunit ribosomal RNA", at positions 28 to 478 of the family's 1533-position model. The record is from RNAcentral.